CCCUUUUACAUUUUAAUUUUUUUUUUCUCAAAUAAAACGGUAAUUGAUGAAACUUAGAGCUUCGUUGCAAAGGAAAACAGUUCAUGUUUUUAGGCAAAAAGCUUAAAGCAACAAAAUUCGUAAACAUACCAAACAUUGAAUAUUCAAAGCAAACUUGCCGUAUAUUUCACGAUUUAUAUUUCCCAUAGUAAAUCAAUUUUUUUCUUUUCUUCAAACAAAAUUGCUUCAAGCUUAUUGUGUAUGAAACGAUUUUCCAAAUAUACAUCUUUUCAAAAUUGAAAUCUUGCUCAUCCCACUCCUACAAGCAAUCAGCCAUAUUUUUGAGAUCAGUGAGGAUGACCACCCACAUCGUUGGUGACCGACGCCCGCGCUCAUUGACGAACUUUGGGCUUGGCUAAUGCUUUCGUUUCCCCGGGUGUAAAUAGCCGGGAGGAAUUAGUACCCUCGACCCGGGCUUACGCCCGGAAAGGGGUCCGCGCCGUUGGCUCGGCGAUGAAUAUAUUUUAGCUACAUACAUA
Molecule: non-coding RNA, 518 nt
Organism: Paramuricea clavata
Lineage: Eukaryota; Metazoa; Cnidaria; Anthozoa; Malacalcyonacea; Plexauridae
Source: the annotation of a GenBank genome assembly